This 1176-nucleotide ribosomal RNA is filed under the name Chrysis galloisi. RNAcentral describes it as "partial 16S ribosomal RNA". The record is from RNAcentral. Lineage: Eukaryota; Metazoa; Arthropoda; Insecta; Hymenoptera; Chrysididae.
AUUAAAUAUUAAUUUAAAUUUAUUAGUUAAUUUAUUUAUAUAUAAAUAAAGUUAUAGAAAUUUAAAUGUUUAAGUAUAUAAAUAUUAAGAAAAAAUUUUUUAUUAAUUGAUUAAUUGUAAAAGAAUAAUUUAAAUAUAAAAAAGAAAAUUUAAUUUAUUGUACCUUUUGUAUCAGGGGUUAUUAAAAUUUAAUAUAAAAAUUUAUAAUUCUCGAAUUAUAAAGAGUUAAUUUAAAAUUAUAGUUAAUGUGGAAAAAUUAUUAUAAAUUUUAAAUUAGAAAUGAAAUGUUAAACGAUUUUUAAGAUAUCUAGUUUUUUAAUAUAAAAAUUUAAUUUUUUUAUAAUUUAAAAUUAUUAAUAAAUUUAAAUUAGUAAUUUAAUUAUAAAUAAUAAUUUAUGGGAUAAUCUAUAAAUUUAAAUUAAAUGAAUUAUUAAUUUUAUAAAAAUUUAGAAAUUAAAAUUUUUAAAAUUAUUAAAUUUUUAAUAAUUUAUUUAUAAGUUGAGUAUAAUUUUAAAAUUUAUUAAUUUAGUAUUAAAAUAGAAAUUUUUAAUUAUUUAAGAAUUAAAAUAAUGAUAAUAUUAGUAUAAUUUUAUGUUAAAUUAAUUUAAUUAAAAAAUUAAUUUAAGGAAUUAGGCAAAAUUUAAAAUUCACUUGUUUAUCAAAAACAUGUUUUUUUGAAAUUAAUAAAAAAUUUUCUCUGCCCAAUGAAAAUUUAAAUGGCCGCAGUAUUUUGACUGUGCAAAGGUAGCAUAAUAAAUAGUUUUUUAAAUGGAGACUAGAAUGAAUGAGAGGAUGAAAUUUUAACUGUCUCAAAUUAAAAAUAAAAGUUUAUUUUAAGUUAAAAUUCUUAAAUAAAUUUAAGGGACGAGAAGACCCUAUAGAAUUUAAAAAUUUUAAUUAAUUUAAUAUAUAAAAUUUUAUUUAAUUAGUAAAAAAUUUUUUUAUUGGGAAGAUAUUAAAAUUUAAUUAACUUUUAAUUAAAAAAUUCAAUAAUAAAUGAAUUAAUGAGAUUAUAUUUUUAAUAAGAAGAAAUUACCUUAGGGAUAACAGCGUAAUAAAUUUUUAAAGUUCAAAUUAAAAAAUUUGAUUGCGACCUCGAUGUUGAAUUAAAAUAAAAUUUAAGUGUAGAAGCUUAAAAUUUAAGUCUGUUCGACUUUUGAAAUUUUACAUGAUUUG